This is a non-coding RNA of Opisthocomus hoazin, 46 nucleotides long. Lineage: Eukaryota; Metazoa; Chordata; Aves; Opisthocomiformes; Opisthocomidae. The record is from Rfam.
ACAAAGGCUCUUUUCAGAGCCACCCACGCUUUCAACGGAAGAGCCU